RNAcentral lists this long non-coding RNA (1043 nucleotides) under Mus musculus (house mouse). RNAcentral's name for it is "long non-coding RNA chr3:81060637-81061680". The record is from RNAcentral. Lineage: Eukaryota; Metazoa; Chordata; Mammalia; Rodentia; Muridae.
GAACUAUAAAUUAAUUUGCUUUUCUAAAUAUGGUAAAUCUACCAGGCAUACUUGCACCUGACUCUUAUUGAAACAAGCUGCUUUUACUUGAUCCAAAUGAUGCCUGCUGUUGCUUUCUGACCUGGACAUCUAUAUUUACAUAUUUGUGACCUUCUCAUGGGAAAACCAGGUGAAAGCUCUUUCGGACUCCAGAUAUAAAGAAUGGUGAAAGUUCCGCUCUAGGGUACUAUAUUGCCAUUCGAAAGGAGCACUAUCAUUUGCAUUUAUGAUACUAAUCUUAUUAUAGGUUGCUGUGGUUUUGGUUUUUGUUUGUGUUUUUGUUUUGCCUGUAAAUGCAGCUAUACCUCAGUGGGAAUAACCAUUUGGGAUGUCAGUGGUCAUUAAUGUGUCUUCAGGUAAAGAAAUAAGCAGAUGAGUCACCUGUCCUCAGGCCUUUGGUCUUCCAUCCUCUUUAGAGCCUACUGACUAGGAUAACUCUGGCCCCCUUCACACACUGCGGUGGCAAUGGUAACUCAGCUGACUUACUGAGAAUGCUGCCCUGGCCUCUGACUACAGGCAUCAGAUCCUAGGGCGGCCCCUACCUCAACUUCUCAAGCUGUAUAUAGUUGGGGGCAGAGGGGGGGUCUUUUCUAUUCUUGUUUAGGUGAUGUCUAAUGUCUCCAGUGUUUUCAAACUGAAAGAUACAUUCUUACUACUUAUUCACUGAGAAUUUUCAGAUUAAGAAAAUCUUUAAAAAUACAAAGGCAGAGGAUGAGAGGGACUUAGAUGCCACAGUGUCCUGUCUUGCCCUCCCGCCGUGUAGCAGUGAGGUCAUUCUGGAAGCAGUGAGGUCAAUGUCUUACUCAUGUAGGUGGCUGGCAGGGGGGCUGGAAAAACUAGCUGACUCUCAUCUGACUCCUUUUUCAUGAUAUGCAUUUCUGCUUGUAUGGGCCACAUGAUACACAGGAAAUAAAAAGACACCCCUCCCCCAUAGUAAAGUAUUAAUCCUUUUUUUCUUGAAAAGAUAUUUUUAAUUAAAAACAAAAUAAAACAAAAAACAAAAC